Molecule: ribosomal RNA, 460 nt
Filed under: uncultured bacterium
Lineage: Bacteria
Description: partial 16S ribosomal RNA
Rfam family: Bacterial small subunit ribosomal RNA
Source: RNAcentral
CCUACGGGAGGCAGCAGUGAGGAAUAUUGGUCAAUGGACGAGAGUCUGAACCAGCCAAGUAGCGUGAAGGAUGACUGCCCUAUGGGUUGUAAACUUCUUUUAUAUGGGAAUAAAACGUUCCACGUGUGGGAUUUUGUAUGUACCAUAUGAAUAAGGAUCGGCUAACUCCAUGCCAGCAGCCGCGGUAAUACGGAGGAUCCGAGCGUUAUCCGGAUUUAUUGGGUUUAAAGGGAGCGUAGGUGGAUUGUUAAGUCAGUUGUGAAAGUUUGCGGCUCAACCGUAAAAUUGCAGUUGAAACUGGCAGUCUUGAGUACAGUAGAGGUGGGCGGAAUUCGUGGUGUAGCGGUGAAAUGCUUAGAUAUCACGAAGAACUCCGAUUGCGAAGGCAGUUCACUGGACUGCAACUGACACUGAGGCUCGAAAGUGUGGGUAUCAAACAGGAUUAGAUACCCUUGUAGUC